GUGAAAUUGUUGAAAGGGAAACGAUUGAAGCCAGUCGUACAUUCGGGUGAUCAGCCUUUCGGGUGCGAUUAUGUGGAGUGUGAGGAGCUUAAACACCUUCAUGUUUUGCAUAUUCGUACUCUUGGGUGUACUUGACCGUGUGGUUGGUUAACAUCAAUUUUGGUGUUCAUAAAAUGACUGGAGUGAUGUAGCUUCGAUCUCGUAUUGAAGUGUUAUAGCCUUCGGUAGAUGGGAUGAUCUAGAUUUAGGAUUGCAACGGAUACCCUUCGGGGCUACCGGGCUGAUCUCUGAUCGUUGCUUUGGUGCCGAAAGCUUGCUUACGGUUAUCAAAGUCGACGGUCAAUAGGUUAGAACGGGUUAAAUUCGUUAAGGAUGUUGACGUAAUGGCUUUAAACGAC
RNAcentral lists this ribosomal RNA (398 nucleotides) under uncultured Rhizophagus. RNAcentral describes it as "eukaryotic LSU rRNA". Lineage: Eukaryota; Fungi; Glomeromycota; Glomeromycetes; Glomerales; Glomeraceae. The record is from RNAcentral.